GACGAACGCUGGCGGCGUGCUUAACACAUGCAAGUCGAACGGAAAGGCCCUGCUUUUGUGGGGUGCUCGAGUGGCGAACGGGUGAGUAACACGUGAGUAACCUGCCCUUGACUUUGGGAUAACUUCAGGAAACUGGGGCUAAUACCGGAUAGGAGCUCCUGCUGCACGGUGGGGGUUGGAAAGUUUCGGCGGUUGGGGAUGGACUCGCGGCUUAUCAGCUUGUUGGUGGGGUAGUGGCUUACCAAGGCUUUGACGGGUAGCCGGCCUGAGAGGGUGACCGGCCACAUUGGGACUUAGAUACGGCCCAGACUCCUACGGGAGGCAGCAGUGGGGAAUAUUGCACAAUGGGCGGAAGCCUGAUGCAGCAACGCCGCGUGCGGGAUGACGGCCUUCGGGUUGUAAACCGCUUUCGCCUGUGACGAAGCGUGAGUGACGGUAAUGGGUAAAGAAGCACCGGCUAACUACGUGCCAGCAGCCGCGGUGAUACGUAAGGUGCGAGCGUUGUCCGGAUUUAUUGGGCGUAAAGGGCUCGUAGGUGGUUGAUCGCGUCGGAAGUGUAAUCUUGGGGCUUAACCCUGAGCGUGCUUUCGAUACGGGUUGACUUGAGGAAGGUAGGGGAGAAUGGAAUUCCUGGUGGAGCGGUGGAAUGCGCAGAUAUCAGGAGGAACACCAGUGGCGAAGGCGGUUCUCUGGGCCUUUCCUGACGCUGAGGAGCGGAAGCGUGGGGAGCGAACAGGCUUAGAUACCCUGGUAGUCCACGCUGUAAACGGUGGGUACUAGGUGUGGGGUCCAUUCCACGGGUUCCGUGCCGUAGCUAACGCUUUAAGUACCCCGCCUGGGGAGUACGGCCGCAAGGCUAAAACUCAAAGGAAUUGACGGGGCCCCGCACAAGCGGCGGAGCAUGCGGAUUAAUUCGAUGCAACGCGUAGAACCUUACCUGGGUUUGACAUGGAUCGGGAGCGCUCAGAGAUGGGUGUGCCUCUUUUGGGGUCGGUUCACAGGUGGUGCAUGGCUGUCGUCAGCUCGUGUCGUGAGAUGUUGGGUUAAGUCCCGCAACGAGCGCAACCCUUGUUCACUGUUGCCAGCACGUUAUGGUGGGGACUCAGUGGAGACCGCCGGGGUCAACUCGGAGGAAGGUGGGGAUGACGUCAAGUCAUCAUGCCCCUUAUGUCCAGGGCUUCACGCAUGCUACAAUGGCUGGUACAGAGAGUGGCGAGCCUGUGAGGGUGAGCGAAUCUCGGAAAGCCGGUCUCAGUUCGGAUUGGGGUCUGCAACUCGACCUCAUGAAGUCGGAGUCGCUAGUAAUCGCAGAUCAGCAACGCUGCGGUGAAUACGUUCCCGGG
RNAcentral lists this ribosomal RNA (1343 nucleotides) under uncultured bacterium. RNAcentral describes it as "16S ribosomal RNA". It matches the Rfam family "Bacterial small subunit ribosomal RNA", at positions 28 to 1378 of the family's 1533-position model. The record is from RNAcentral.